GAUGAACGCUGGCGGCGUGCCUAAUACAUGCAAGUCGAGCGAACGGACGAGAAGCUUGCUUCUCUGAUGUUAGCGGCGGACGGGUGAGUAACACGUGGAUAACCUACCUAUAAGACUGGGAUAACUUCGCGAAACCGGAUCUAAUACCGGAUGAUAUUUUGAACCGCAUGGUUCAAAAGUGAAAGACGGUCUUGCUGUCACUUAUAGAUGGAUCCGCGCUGCAUUAGCUAGUUGGUAAGGUAACGGCUUACCAAGGCAACGAUGCAUAGCCGACCUGAGAGGGUGAUCGGCCACACUGGAACUGAGACACGGUCCAGACUCCUACGGGAGGCAGCAGUAGGGAAUCUUCCGCAAUGGGCGAAAGCCUGACGGAGCAACGCCGCGUGAGUGAUGAAGGUCUUCGGAUCGUAAAACUCUGUUAUUAGGGAAGAACAUAUGUGUAAGUAACUGUGCACAUCUUGACGGUACCUAAUCAGAAAGCCACGGCUAACUACGUG
This 497-nucleotide ribosomal RNA is filed under the name uncultured bacterium. RNAcentral describes it as "partial 16S ribosomal RNA". It matches the Rfam family "Bacterial small subunit ribosomal RNA", at positions 28 to 507 of the family's 1533-position model. The record is from RNAcentral.